RNAcentral lists this ribosomal RNA (485 nucleotides) under uncultured bacterium. RNAcentral describes it as "bacterial SSU rRNA". It matches the Rfam family "Bacterial small subunit ribosomal RNA", at positions 30 to 509 of the family's 1533-position model. The record is from RNAcentral.
AUUGAACGCUGGCGGCAGGCCUAACACAUGCAAGUCGAGCGGAUGAGUGGAGCUUGCUCCAUGAUUCAGCGGCGGACGGGUGAGUAAUGCCUAGGAAUCUGCCUGGUAGUGGGGGACAACGUUUCGAAAGGAACGCUAAUACCGCAUACGUCCUACGGGAGAAAGUGGGGGAUCUUCGGACCUCACGCUAUCAGAUGAGCCUAGGUCGGAUUAGCUAGUUGGUGAGGUAAAGGCUCACCAAGGCGACGAUCCGUAACUGGUCUGAGAGGAUGAUCAGUCACACUGGAACUGAGACACGGUCCAGACUCCUACGGGAGGCAGCAGUGGGGAAUAUUGGACAAUGGGCGAAAGCCUGAUCCAGCCAUGCCGCGUGUGUGAGAAGGUCUUCGGAUUGUAAAGCACUUUAAGUUGGGAGGAAGGGCAGUAAGUUAAUACCUUGCUGUUUUGACGUUACCAACAGAAUAAGCACCGGCUAACUUCGUGCC